RNAcentral lists this ribosomal RNA (865 nucleotides) under Poaceascoma halophilum. Its description in RNAcentral is "LSU rRNA". It matches the Rfam family "Eukaryotic large subunit ribosomal RNA", at positions 84 to 966 of the family's 3401-position model. The record is from RNAcentral. Lineage: Eukaryota; Fungi; Ascomycota; Dothideomycetes; Pleosporales; Lentitheciaceae.
UAACGGCGAGUGAAGCGGCAACAGCUCAAAUUUGAAAUCUGGCCUCCUCCGGGGUCCGAGUUGUAAUUUGCAGAGGGUGCUUUGGCGUUGGCAGCGGUCUAAGUUCCUUGGAACAGGACGUCACAGAGGGUGAGAAUCCCGUACGUGGUCGCCCGCCUCCGCCGUGUAAAGCCCCUUCGACGAGUCGAGUUGUUUGGGAAUGCAGCUCUAAAUGGGAGGUAAAUUUCUUCUAAAGCUAAAUACUGGCCAGAGACCGAUAGCGCACAAGUAGAGUGAUCGAAAGAUGAAAAGCACUUUGGAAAGAGAGUCAAAAAGCACGUGAAAUUGUUGAAAGGGAAGCGCUUGCAGCCAGACUUGCCCGUAGUUGCUCACCCGGACUUUUGCCCGGGGCACUCUUCUGCGGGCAGGCCAGCAUCAGUUUGGGCGACCGGAUAACGGCCUCUGUCAUGUACCAUCCCUCGGGAUGGCCUUAUAGGGGAGGCGUAAUGCGGCCAGCCCGGACUGAGGUCCGCGCAUCUGCUAGGAUGCUGGCGUAAUGGCUGUAAGCGGCCCGUCUUGAAACACGGACCAAGGAGUCUAACAUCUAUGCGAGUGUUUGGGUGUCAAGCCCGGGCGCGCAAUGAAAGUGAACGGAGGUGGGAACCCUCUCGGGGGCGCACCAUCGACCGAUCCUGAUGUUCUCGGAUGGAUUUGAGUAAGAGCAUAGCUGUUGGGACCCGAAAGAUGGUGACUAUGCUUGAAUAGGGUGAAGCCAGAGGAAACCUGGUGGAGGCUCGCAGCGGUUCUGACGUGCAAAUCGAUCGUCAAAUUUGGGCAUAGGGGCGAAAGACUAAUCGAACUAUCUAGUAGCUGGUUCCUGCCGAGU